UGCAGAAGUUCCACUGCAGCUUUUGAUAUGAAUCAUACUUCUCAGGCUGUGCAGGAGAAAGGGAGCCUGUGAGCAAGGUUUAAAUCAUCAGGUUGUUUUAUUAUUACAGAUGUACCCAUUAGGAUCCAAGUUUAGCAAGGAAAUUAUUAAAAUCCAUCUGUCUGUAAGGCAGAGCAAAAGAUCUUUUCAUUUUUAUUUAGAACUUUGGCUCCCAUGGCUGCUUGGUAGAACAGUGAAUUCUCAUUGUUUCUGGCUAGAGAGCUUUGUUGUUAUGAGUCACCUUGUUACACAUUUGGGAGUCAACCAACUUUUUAUAUUAAUGUUUGUGCUUUCCCUUGAUAGCCAUUGUGGUAGGUUGGACAGAAAAGUUUGGGAGUGUCCCAGGAUUUGGAAGACUCUGGCAAAGCCCUUUUUAAUCUCCUUCUUCCUAAAUCUGGGGAAUUUUCUGCAUGAUAAAGCAAAGAUAUUGGAAAACUCCAGACCAACAAAAAGUGGUGUGAAAAGAAAUUCCCAAGACAUUUUUUCCAUACAGUCUGAGUCAUCUCCUGAAGGUGGAUCUUUGCUGACAGGUGUUCAUCAGAAAUAUCUGAGCUACUCCAGCAAGAGGUACUAUGAAUCAAAUAUCUACAUCUAUGGCUUCAUUUAUUUUUGGUGCACACUGUAUUUUCUAGUGACCAAAGUGUUUUUUCCUCUGUCCCAUCAGAGUCCAUCAUGAGCUUUCAUUAUCAUUGUCAUACAUUGCAAGGAUCUGCAUCUGAAGCACCAGUCAGCAGCAGCUCCAAGGACACAUUCCAUCUAUGUGGAAUAAGAAACUGCUGUCAUGGAGAAAGUCCACCUGCCAGCCUCACUGUGGACUGUAGCAACUCUGAAUUUGUUCUGUUGCACAUCACGUGUGGAAGCACGGGAAAGAGCAGGACUGCUCCUCCCCAGAAGAAAAUCACUGUACGUGGGUUAAGCAAUCACAUUUUUUUCAUUGCAUGGGGCUGGGUGUGUGGAGCGGUGAGGUCUGGGUGUUCUCAUUCCUCAGUCUUUGCUUGUCCCAUGAGUCAUGUUGUACCAGAUAUUCUAGUAAAUGAAAACAGAUCCAGGUAGAUGGAGAGAGUAAAUAUCUUGCUACUGCCAGAGUAUCCUCAUAGAAGUGGACUGUCAUGAGGAAUUCCAUGAAUACAUUGUCCAAUCAGCUUAGCUGACAGAAGUUCUUUUACUUUUCCUAUGCUUCCCACUCUCCCCAAACAAGAACUUUUUUAGCAAAGACUUACAUAGGUAAAAGUUACCUCUCCACUGCUCCAGCAGAGUUUUGCAUCACAAGGUAAUGGGAAUUUCUGGUUUUAGGUCCAUUGUGACAGAGUGUUAUAUUAUGUCCCAGUUUUACUAAAUACAUAAGCCAGUGAGAUUACUGUCGGACUGAAUCAGGAGUCUCCAGAGCUCAGUAACGAAGCCACAUUUAAACUUUUCACCAUUUGCUUAUGCAGUACUGGUAUUUGAGAUGGAGAAUACAUCUGUCCUGGUGUAUGACAGUCAUCUCAAGUGGCUGCUCAGAAUGCGAAAUAAUAUUAAUAGUAUAUGAGAUGUACGAUGAGAGAAUACCAGGCUAUAACUUACAAAAGGUUGAUGCUGGAUUUCUCUCCUUCCUUCACACAGAUUGGCCACUGUAUCCCUCAAGUAUUUUCUUUAUUAUCGUGUUUGAAGAUGACAGCCCUACUCAUAGCUUAGCC
Long non-coding RNA from Coturnix japonica (Japanese quail), 1715 nucleotides. The record is from Ensembl. Lineage: Eukaryota; Metazoa; Chordata; Aves; Galliformes; Phasianidae.